CCUACGGGGGGCAGCAGUGAGGAAUAUUGGUCAAUGGACGAGAGUCUGAACCAGCCAAGUAGCGUGAAGGAUGACUGCCCUAUGGGUUGUAAACUUCUUUUAUAAAGGAAUAAAACGAGGCACGUGUGCCUUUUUGCAUGUACUUUAUGAAUAAGGAUCGGCUAACUCCGUGCCAGCAGCCGCGGUAAUAAGGAGAAUCCGAGCGUUAUCCGGAUUUAUUGGGUUUAAAGGGAGCGUAGAUGGGUUGUUAAGUCAGUUGUGAAAUUUUGCGGUUAAACCGUAAAAUUGCAAUUGAUACUGGCAGUCUUGUGUACAGUUGAGGUAGGCGGAGUUCGUGGUGUAGCGGGGAGAU
Molecule: ribosomal RNA, 352 nt
Filed under: uncultured bacterium
Lineage: Bacteria
Description: partial 16S ribosomal RNA
Rfam family: Bacterial small subunit ribosomal RNA
Source: RNAcentral